Molecule: unclassified non-coding RNA, 364 nt
Filed under: rhizosphere metagenome
Description: partial ribosomal RNA internal transcribed spacer region
Source: RNAcentral
GUAGGUGAACCUGCGGAAGGAUCAUUAACACGUAUCCAACGUUAAACAACCCUGUGAACCUUGAACGUGCUCUCGUACACGCUCUAGCAGCAAUCCCUGGUAAAUCAUUGUUGACCAGCUAUUGAGUCUGGGACUUCUGCUAGAAAACCAUACGAUACGAGCGCCAGAGUAAGUGCGGCCUGGCACUGGCAUCCUAGCAAUCUGUCAGUGGUUGCGCAAGGAUGGCGCAGUAAACGAUCGCUGUAGGCCCGGCGACCGGGCCUCUGUGCUUCAGCACCUAAUGACACCAGUUUUCUGACCCGGUGCGCUGUAACAACCGCACCACAAACUCGAACAACUGUUAACAAUGGAUAUCUUGGUUCUU